This 450-nucleotide long non-coding RNA is filed under the name Anas platyrhynchos platyrhynchos (common mallard). RNAcentral's name for it is "lncRNA (ENSAPLG00000025183.1)". Lineage: Eukaryota; Metazoa; Chordata; Aves; Anseriformes; Anatidae. The record is from RNAcentral.
CUCCUCUUUUUAAAAAUGUGAAUGAUAUACUUCAGCUGCAGAAAUUUCAGCAGUGGUUGGGUAUGGGGUAUUAGCUGCAUACCUCUGCACUGAAUCCCACUACUUCUGUUGCAUCAGACAAACUGAGAGUUUAUUUUCUCUUUUUGCAGAGAAGGACCAUGGUUUGCUCUCUUGCUUUUACUUAACUGGCCAACAGGUGAAUCCUGAGUGAACAGGUCAGCUCAGGAACAAGAAGGAUCUAAAGAGAUCAACGUAACAGUGACUCUGCCCUUCCUGUUGGUGUUGAGAUUAUCAGCCUGUGAGUAUUGUUCCUUCUUUCUUCUGACUUGCGUUCUCUUGAAGUCGAUUACCUGUUGGAAAAUCUGUUCAUGCCACCAAGCCGAUCCAAGUUCAACAGCUAGAAAUAAUGAAGCAAUGAUAUAUAGCACAAAACGGUAAGUUUUUCAUAAU